AGCUUUGCGCAGUGGCAGUAUCGUAGCCAAUGAGGUUUAUCUGAGGCGCGAUUAUUGCUAAUAGAAGAAGUGCAGAAGGGAGACAUUUCAAUCAGAAUGGAGGAUUCCAGAGGAUUUGAAGAACGCGGUGAUGGCGUCAAUUUUUAAAGUUGGUUGGGAAUUAGCUA
Molecule: small nuclear RNA, 167 nt
Filed under: Zalophus californianus (California sea lion)
Lineage: Eukaryota; Metazoa; Chordata; Mammalia; Carnivora; Otariidae
Description: U4 spliceosomal RNA (ENSZCAG00015011050.1)
Rfam family: U4 spliceosomal RNA (bases 1-69)
Source: RNAcentral